UGGGGAAUAUUGCGCAAUGGGGGAAACCCUGACGCAGCGACGCCGCGUGAAGGAAGAAGGCUUUCGGGUUGUAAACUUCUUUGAUCGGGGACGAAGAUGACGGUACCCGAGGAACAAGCCACGGCUAACUACGUGCCAGCAGCCGCGGUAAUACGUAGGUGGCGAGCGUUGUCCGGAAUUACUGGGUGUAAAGGGCGUGUAGGCGGGGCGGCAAGUCAGAUGUGAAAUACCUCGGCUUAACUGGGGUGCUGCAUCUGAAACUGUCGUUCUUGAGUGUCGGAGAGGAAAGUGGAAUUCCCAGUGUAGCGGUGAAAUGCGUAGAGAUUGGGAGGAACACCAGUGGCGAAGGCGGGUAACUGGACUGCAACUGACGCUGAGGCGCGAAAGUGUGGGGAGCAAACAGG
Molecule: ribosomal RNA, 404 nt
Filed under: uncultured prokaryote
Also listed under: 1 other name
Description: bacterial SSU rRNA
Rfam family: Bacterial small subunit ribosomal RNA
Source: RNAcentral